Molecule: ribosomal RNA, 253 nt
Filed under: uncultured bacterium
Lineage: Bacteria
Description: partial 16S ribosomal RNA
Rfam family: Bacterial small subunit ribosomal RNA
Source: RNAcentral
UACAGAGGUCCCAAGCGUUGUUCGGAUUCACUGGGCGUAAAGGGUGCGUAGGUGGUUAGGUAAGUCCGAUGUGAAAUCUCCAGGCUCAACCUGGAAAUGGCAUUGGAUACUAUCUAGCUUGAGGAGUGGAGGGGGGACUGGAAUUCUCGGUGUAGCAGUGAAAUGCGUAGAUAUCGAGAGGAACACCAGUGGCGAAGGCGGCCAACUGGACGAAGACUGACGCUGAGACACGAAAGCGUGGGGAGCAAACAGG